RNAcentral lists this long non-coding RNA (358 nucleotides) under Vigna radiata. RNAcentral describes it as "long non-coding RNA (VRAD_LNC014728)". Lineage: Eukaryota; Viridiplantae; Streptophyta; Magnoliopsida; Fabales; Fabaceae. The record is from RNAcentral.
CCCUACUAUGGGAAGCCCUCUUGGACCAGGUGGAAACCGUGAAUUCUUCUCCUUUUUCAGGUUUUGAAAAAGGAUUAACAGAAGAAGAGGAAGAAAGAGGUAUGCAACAGUUACAAGUGGUGCAACCAUUUUGCAAGACCAAAGAGGUGCAAGACCAAGUGCUGCAAGACCAAGAGUUGCAAGGAAACUGUGGCCUGGAAGCAAACACUACUUCCUCACCCUUAUAUCAUACUACACCCACCCUUCCCUCUACAAAAUGACAAAGCAGCAUUAAAUGCUUUCGUAAUAUUUAAAUUUGUUUUAUAAAACUAAUUUGUCCAUGCACAAUCAUGCAGGUAUGGACCAACCCUGUUAUAUU